RNAcentral lists this ribosomal RNA (117 nucleotides) under Klebsiella pneumoniae. Its description in RNAcentral is "partial 16S ribosomal RNA". It matches the Rfam family "Bacterial small subunit ribosomal RNA", at positions 1427 to 1533 of the family's 1533-position model. Lineage: Bacteria; Pseudomonadati; Pseudomonadota; Gammaproteobacteria; Enterobacterales; Enterobacteriaceae. The record is from RNAcentral.
UCAGUAGCUUAACCUUCGGGAGGGCGCUUACCACUUUGUGAUUCAUGACUGGGGUGAAGUCGUAACAAGGUAACCGUAGGGGAACCUGCGGUUGGAUCACCUCCUUACCUUAAAGAA